AGAGUUUGAUCAUGGCUCAGGAUGAACGCUAGCUACAGGCUUAACACAUGCAAGUCGAGGGGCAGCAUGAUCAAAGCUUGCUUUGGUUGAUGGCGACCGGCGCACGGGUGAGUAACGCGUAUCCAACCUUCCCCUUAGUAGGGCAUAGCCCGUAGAAAUGCGGAUUAAUACCCUAUGUUGUUCGUAGAGGACAUCUGAAAUGAACCAAAGGUUUACCGCUAAGGGAUGGGGAUGCGUCUGAUUAGGUAGUCGGCGGGGUAACGGCCCACCGAGCCUUCGAUCAGUAGGGGUUCUGAGAGGAAGGUCCCCCACAUUGGAACUGAGACACGGUCCAAACUCCUACGGGAGGCAGCAGUGAGGAAUAUUGGUCAAUGGGCGCGAGCCUGAACCAGCCAAGUAGCGUGCAGGAUGACGGCCCUAUGGGUUGCAAACCUCUUUUGCCUGGGGGCAAUAAGGCGCAUGCGUGCGUUGAUGAGAGUACCAGGCGAAUAAGCAUCGGCUAACUCCGUGCCAGCAGCCGCGGUAAUACGGAGGAUGCGAGCGUUAUCCGGAUUUAUUGGGUUUAAAGGGUGCGCAGGCGGUCGAUUAAGUCAGCGGUGAAAUGUCCCGGCUCAACCGGGGAGCUGCCGUUGAUACUGGUUGGCUUGAGUGCGAACGGCGCCGGCGGAAUGAGUGGUGUAGCGGUGAAAUGCAUAGAUAUCACUCAGAACACCGAUCGCGAAGGCAGCUGGCGAGGACGUUACUGACGCUGAGGCACGAAAGCGUGGGGAGCAAACAGGAUUAGAUACCCUGGUAGUCCACGCAGUAAACGAUGAUAACUAACCGUCGGCGAUAGACAGUCGGCGGCCAAGCGAAAGCGAUAAGUUAUCCACCUGGGGAGUACGUUCGCAAGAAUGAAACUCAAAGGAAUUGACGGGGGCCCGCACAAGCGGAGGAACAUGUGGUUUAAUUCGAUGAUACGCGAGGAACCUUACCCGGGCUCGAACGGCAGGUGAACGACACAGAGAUGUGAAGGCCCUUCGGGGCGCCUGUCGAGGUGCUGCAUGGUUGUCGUCAGCUCGUGCCGUGAGGUGUCGGCUCAAGUGCCAUAACGAGCGCAACCCUUGCCUUCAGUUACCAGCACGCAAUGGUGGGGACUCUGAAGGGACUGCCACCGCAAGGUGAGAGGAAGGGGGGGAUGACGUCAAAUCAGCACGGCCCUUACGUCCGGGGCGACACACGUGUUACAAUGGCGGCCACAGAGGGAAGCCACCUGGCGACAGGGAGCGAAUCUCGAAAAGCCGUCUCAGUUCGGAUCGGAGUCUGCAACCCGACUCCGUGAAGCUGGAUUCGCUAGUAAUCGCGCAUCAGCCAUGGCGCGGUGAAUACGUUCCCGGGCCUUGUACACACCGCCCGUCAAGCCAUGAAAGCCGGGGGUGCCUGAAGUCCGUGACCGAGAGGAGCGGCCUAGGGCAAAACUGGUAAUUGGGGCUAAGUCGUAACAAGGUAACCGUA
Molecule: ribosomal RNA, 1494 nt
Filed under: uncultured rumen bacterium
Lineage: Bacteria
Description: bacterial SSU rRNA
Rfam family: Bacterial small subunit ribosomal RNA
Source: RNAcentral